GGCCAUAUGGCCCAAUGGCAAGGCGCUUGACUACGAAUCAAGAGAUUCCAGGUUCGACCCCUGGUAUGGUCA
Lepidopterella palustris CBS 459.81 is the source of this 72-nucleotide non-coding RNA. The record is from the annotation of a GenBank genome assembly. Lineage: Eukaryota; Fungi; Ascomycota; Dothideomycetes; Mytilinidiales; Argynnaceae.